CCUACGGGUGGCAGCAGUGAGGAAUAUUGGUCAAUGGGCGCGAGCCUGAACCAGCCAAGUCGCGUGAGGGAAGACGGCCCUACGGGUUGUAAACCUCUUUUGCCGGGGAGCAACGGGCGCCACGUGUGGCGCCACUGAGAGUACCCGGAGAAAAAGCAUCGGCUAACCCCGUGCCAGCAGCCGCGGUAAUACGGAGGCUGCGAGCUUUAUCCGGAUUUAUUGGGUUAAAAGGGUGCGUAGCCGGAGCGUUAAGUCAGUGGUCAAAUUGAGGGUCUAAACCCCUUCCCGCCAUUGAAACUGGCGCUCUUGAGUGGAAGAGAAGUAUGCGGAAUGCGUGGUGUAGCGGUGAAAUGCUUAGAUAUCACGCAGAACCCCGAUUGCGAAGGCAGCAUGCCGGCUUCCGACUGACGCUGAAGCACGAAGGCGUGGGGAUCGAACAGGAUUAGAUACCCGAGUAGUC
This 460-nucleotide ribosomal RNA is filed under the name uncultured bacterium. RNAcentral's name for it is "partial 16S ribosomal RNA". It matches the Rfam family "Bacterial small subunit ribosomal RNA", at positions 338 to 795 of the family's 1533-position model. The record is from RNAcentral.